Molecule: long non-coding RNA, 638 nt
Organism: Erinaceus europaeus (western European hedgehog)
Lineage: Eukaryota; Metazoa; Chordata; Mammalia; Eulipotyphla; Erinaceidae
Exons: 3
Source: RefSeq, a predicted model, not a curated record
CACGGCCACAGGGACCACACCGAGCCCAAGGUCCCUGCCAGCGUCCCUCCUCCCUGUCCAGCCCUGAUCCAAGAUGGACACCCAGGGCCUGAGCCCGGGGCUGCACCUGCUUCCUCCUCAGACAAAGAAGCUCUCUGAACCCGAGGAUGGAAGAUUCUGACUCUGGAAAGCAUUCUGAUUGUUAGACCAGAGACACAGGGAUGGAGGGACACAAAGAAGGGGAGAAAGUGAGAUACCUGCAGUCCUGCUUCACCACUCAGGAAGCUCAAGCCCAGCCCCUCUGCAGCCCCUGAACCCAGGUCCUUGCAUUCUAGCCCCAGCCCCUGCCUCUCCGCUGUCUUCUCCUCCAUUCCCGCCGCCCUGGCUGCCCUGCUCUGCUGCCCACAGGUGCUGGCGUGCCAGCCUCCCGCCCACAGCUGCCUGCCCAGAUGGCGUGGCAGGUCUCGGCUCCUGCUUUGCAAGGCUCCCCAGAGAUGCCGGGAGGGCGUAAGGGGCGUCGGGAUGAAUCAGACCGGAGUCGGCAACCUCUCGUCAAGACCCUUGCUUCAUGCCUGGCAUCCAUUUAGCACCUCAGCUUUCAAUAUCACUUAGAGGAAACAGCCGCACAGACCUCAAGUCAGACUUUGAUGUUUAGACCU